AAAGCUCUUUGUUUUUUGAAAGGGUGCUUUUAUGAGAUAGAGCUUUUUUAGAUAAUGCUUUUUUAGAUAAUGCUGGGGAAGGUUUUCCGGUUUAUCUCGGAGGGCUUGUAGCUCAGUUGGUUAGAGCGCGCGCUUGAUAAGCGUGAGGUCGGAGGUUCAAGUCCUCCCAGGCCCACCAAUUUACCUAUCCAUUUGCCUUUAUCUGUUUAUUUGCCGAUUUAUCGGUCCAUUGAAUUUAAGUGUUGGUAGCAGUUUUAUAAUGAUGAGAAAUCAUGCUUAUAAAAGAACUCCUUAUAAAAGGCUUGUUUUUAAAAUGUGACGCUUAUCCAUUUCGCUUAGGCAAGAGAAACUUCAAGCGGUUCAAAUACAAAAGGCUUUAAGUUUUGCAAAACACUUUGAAUUUUGCAAA
RNAcentral lists this unclassified non-coding RNA (409 nucleotides) under uncultured Bartonella sp. RNAcentral's name for it is "partial 16S-23S ribosomal RNA intergenic spacer". The stretch from base 102 to 175 matches the Rfam family "tRNA". The record is from RNAcentral. Lineage: Bacteria; Pseudomonadati; Pseudomonadota; Alphaproteobacteria; Hyphomicrobiales; Bartonellaceae.